This 370-nucleotide ribosomal RNA is filed under the name Prasinococcus capsulatus. RNAcentral describes it as "partial Bacterial large subunit ribosomal RNA". It matches the Rfam family "Bacterial large subunit ribosomal RNA", at positions 1587 to 1966 of the family's 2925-position model. The record is from RNAcentral. Lineage: Eukaryota; Viridiplantae; Prasinodermophyta; Palmophyllophyceae; Prasinococcales; Prasinococcaceae.
AAAAUCGGAAACGUCAGACUUUCGAGAAAAUCUUUUCAUACGAAAAACAUACCGUACUUGUACCGUAAACCGACACAGGUGGGUAAGUAGAGUAUACUAAGGGGCGCGAGAUAACUCUCUCUAAGGAACUCGGCAAAAUGGCCCCGUACCUUCGGAAGAUGGGGUACCUUUUUAAAAAGGUUGCAAUAACCAGGCCCAGGCGACUGUUUACCAAAAACACAGGUCUCCGCAAAGUCGUAAGACAACGUAUGGGGGCUGACGCCUGCCCAGUGCCGGAAGGUUAAAGAAUCUUGUUAGAUUAUUCGAAGCUCGAAACUGAAGCCCCGGUGAACGGCGGCCGUAACAAUAACGGUCCUAAGGUAGCAAAAUU